AAUAAACGCUGGCGGCGUGCUUAACACAUGCAAGUCGAGCGAGAAAGGUCUUCGGACUGAGUACAGCGGCGGACGGGUGAGUAACGCGUAGGAAUCUACCUUCUAGUGGAGAAUACUCUCGAGAAAUCGAGCUUAAUACUGCAUAAGUCUUGAAAAAGAGAAAGAUGGCCUCUUUGCUGUCGCUAGAAGAUGAGCCUGCGUACUAUUAGCUAGUUGGUAGGGUAAAGGCCUACCAAGGCGAUGAUGGUUAGCCGGCCUGAGAGGGCGUACGGCCACACUGGAACUUAGACACGGUCCAGACUCCUACGGGAGGCAGCAGUGAGGAAUAUUGCGCAAUGGGCGAAAGCCUGACGCAGCGACGCCGCGUGGAGGAUGAAGGUCUUAGGAUUGUAAACUUCUGUUAAGCGGGAAGAAAGGCAAAGUUUGAAUACAGCUUUGCUAUGACGGUACCGCUAGAGAAAGCACCGGCUAACUUCGUGCCAGCCGCCGCCGUAACAC
Molecule: ribosomal RNA, 498 nt
Filed under: uncultured bacterium
Lineage: Bacteria
Description: bacterial SSU rRNA
Rfam family: Bacterial small subunit ribosomal RNA
Source: RNAcentral